AUGUCUUCUUGUGGCGGCUGGAGCUUCGGCGCAGGCCACACGUUCGACGGAAUGUCUGAGAAGCUCAACUACGAAGAAAACAUCCAAACGGAAGCGGCUGGUGGCGAGGACCGCAUCAGCGCCCUCCCGGACGAACUCCUCCAGUACGUGAUGUCGUUCCUGCUUUCCCGCGACGCCGUGCGGACAUGCGUGCUCGCUAGGCGCUGGCGCACGCUCUGGAAGUCCGUGCCCGCCCUACGCAUUGAUGACCCCGACAGCUACCACGGUGCUACGGGCUCCAGCACGUUUGUCGACGAGCUGCUUCGUCUCCGUGACCCAACGCCUCUGAAUGUAUGUGACAUCCGUUCUGGUUGUCAGGAGACUGCGAACACCAAUUGGGCCAAGGAGGCAUUCCGACACAUGGAACCAUGGCUCCUGUAUGCUUUAUCCUGUCAAGUUCCAGUGCUUCGGAUUUGUUUUCCCUGGCGGGUAAUCAACAUGACUCUUGUCUCAUCGCACUUGAAGAGGUUACAUCUUUACCGCAUGCGAUUUGAGGGAUGCUCUCUGGAUUUUUCGAGCUGUCAGGUGCUAGAGGUGUUAGAGAUGAAAGCUUGUCAUAUCCAUGUGAAUCUCUUGUCCCAGUCAUUACGAUUUCUUAAAAUUCACAACACGAGUUUUGGUUUUGAUCCCCGCACUCGUAUUUCUGCCCCAAAUCUCAUUGGCUUCAGACUAGCUCCAUUUUACGGUUUGGCUCCUUUGCUUGAUAGCAUGCCAUCACUGGUAGCAGCAUCUAUUACACUUGGAGAAAUGUGCGAGGAAAUGUGUUACUGUGGAAAUCUAUCAUGUGGGGGAUGCGAUGCUCAAGCCGGUAACAACGACUAUCAUGUGGCUCUCCAAGGUUUGUCAGGUGCUACGAAUUUGAAGUUGACAACAAUAUCUUAUCCGAUAAGGCUGUCUGUUUUGAGAAUGGAUUUGACAUGGCGCCCCAUGUUUAGGAAGCUAAAAAAGUUGUUGCUCAAUGAGUGGUGUGUGGCUGAUGAUUUCACUGGAUUGAUUUACUUUCUCCAGCACUCACCCAUUCUAGAGACACUGAUACUUCAGCUUGAUUUGCAAACUUUUGAGGAUUAUCAUUUGAACGAAAUUGAAGGAAGUUGUAACUCAAGGGAACAAUCAUUGCUAUCACAACAUCUCAAGGUAGUCAAAAUUAUAUGUGGCACGCAGGAAGAUGUGAUAGUUCACCGUAUUUCAAAGAUCCUAUGUGCCCAUGGAGUACCUUCUGAGCAAAUUGAGAUAGAAUAG
This 1278-nucleotide ribosomal RNA is filed under the name Triticum aestivum (bread wheat). Its description in RNAcentral is "partial small subunit ribosomal RNA". The record is from RNAcentral. Lineage: Eukaryota; Viridiplantae; Streptophyta; Magnoliopsida; Poales; Poaceae.